UUAGUCAACUAUCAGGCGCAUAUUCUUCCUCUCUUUCUUUUAUUUCUAUUUCUUUUUGUUAUUUUCUAAUUUUUAUGAUUGGAUGAUAGAGAUAUAAAUGGAUAAUGCUUGUGAGCCCUUGAUUAAUUUGAAUCAAUGGUUGUUAUUGCUAAAUACUAUUUGGAGAAACUCCCCUGAAACUAGUCAGGUGAAGCCACAGUUGUCC
This 205-nucleotide long non-coding RNA is filed under the name Lathyrus oleraceus (garden pea). Its description in RNAcentral is "Pisum sativum (pea) long non-coding RNA (PSAT_LNC007856)". The record is from RNAcentral. Lineage: Eukaryota; Viridiplantae; Streptophyta; Magnoliopsida; Fabales; Fabaceae.